ACAAUUGGAAACAGUUGCUAAGACUGGAUAGGAAAAGUAAAGGCAUCUUUACUUUUUUAAAAGACCUUCUUUGGAGGUAUGCUUAAGGAGGGGCUUGCGACACAUUAGUUAGUUGGCAGGGUAAAGGCCUACCAAGACUAUGAUGUGUAGCUGGACUGAGAGGUUGAACAGCCACAUUGGGACUGAGACACGGCCCAAACUCCUACGGGAGGCAGCAGUAGGGAAUUUUCGGCAAUGGAGGAAACUCUGACCGAGCAACGCCGCGUGAACGAUGAAGUACCUCGGUAUGUAAAGUUCUUUUAUUAAGGAAGAAAAAAGAGUGGAAAAACUCCCUUGACGGUACUUAAUGAAUAAGCCCCGGCUAAUUAUGUGCCAGCAGCCGCGGUAAUACAUAAGGGGCGAGCGUUAUCCGGAAUUAUUGGGCGUAAAGGGUGCGUAGGCGGUUUAAUAAGUCUAUAGUUUAAUUUCAGUGCUUAACGCUGUUGUGCUAUAGAAACUGUUUUACUAGAGUGAGAUAGAGGCAAGCGGAAUUCCAUGUGUAGCGGUAAAAUGCGUAAAUAUAUGGAGGAACACCAGAGGCGUAGGCGGCUUGCUGGGUCUUUACUGACGCUGAGGCACGAAAGCGUGGGGAGCAAACAGGAUUAGAUACCCUGGUAGUCCACGCCGUAAACGAUGAGUACUAAGUGUCGGGUAAAACCGGUACUGAAGUUAACACAUUAAGUACUCCGCCUGAGUAGUACGUACGCAAGUAUGAAACUUAAAGGAAUUGACGGGACUCCGCACAAGCGGUGGAUCAUGUUGUUUAAUUCGAAGAUACACGAAAAACCUUACCAGGUCUUGACAUUUUCUUGCGAAGUUAUAGAAAUAUAAUGGAGGUUAUCAGGAAAACAGGUGGUGCAUGGUUGUCGUCAGCUCGUGUCGUGAGAUGUUAGGUUAAGUCCUAAAACGAGCGCAACCCUUGUCGUUAAUUGCCAGCAUGUAAUGAUGGGGACUUUAACGAGACUGCCAAUGAAAAAUUGGAGGAAGGUGGGGAUUACGUCAAAUCAUCAUGCCCCUUAUGAUCUGGGCUACAAACGUGAUACAAUGGUUGAUACAAAGAGUAGCUGAAACGCGAGUUCUUAGCCAAUCUCACAAAAUCAAUCUCAGUUCGGAUUGAAGUCUGCAACUCGACUUCAUGAAGUUGGAAUCGCUAGUAAUCGCGAAUCAGCAUGUCGCGGUGAAUACGUUCUCGGGGUUUGUACACACCGCCCGUCAAACCACGAAAGUUGGCAAUACCCCAAAGCGGUCGCCUAACUUCGUAAGAAGAAGGAUCCGUCUAAGGUAGGGUCGAUAAUUGGGGUUAAGUCGUAACAAGGUAUCCCUACCGGAAGGUGGGGAUGGAUCACCUCCUUUCUA
RNAcentral lists this ribosomal RNA (1395 nucleotides) under Grapevine yellows phytoplasma. Its description in RNAcentral is "bacterial SSU rRNA". It matches the Rfam family "Bacterial small subunit ribosomal RNA". Lineage: Bacteria; Bacillati; Mycoplasmatota; Mollicutes; Acholeplasmatales; Acholeplasmataceae. The record is from RNAcentral.